UCAGUUGGCUUAUAAUUGAAGUCUAGUAUGAAUGGGAGCUCGGGGAUAUUCUGUCCUUUAUUUACGAUUAGAAAUUACUAAUUAAGUGAAAAUUCUUAAACCUUUAGAAAAAAGACGAGAAGACCCUAGAAAUUUUUUAUUAUAUAUUUUGUUGGGGCGACAAGGUAACAUAAAACUUACCUAUACAAUAGGAAAUUUUUUAGUUGGGUAAAUAAAUUACUCUAGGGAUAACAGCAUAAUAUUUUAAAGUUUGUGACCUCGAUGUUGGACUAGGAAAUACCCUACU
Molecule: ribosomal RNA, 286 nt
Filed under: Monacha cartusiana
Lineage: Eukaryota; Metazoa; Mollusca; Gastropoda; Stylommatophora; Hygromiidae
Description: partial 16S ribosomal RNA
Source: RNAcentral